CCCAAGGAGAUUCACAUUUGAGUCAGUGG
Molecule: non-coding RNA, 29 nt
Filed under: Homo sapiens (human)
Lineage: Eukaryota; Metazoa; Chordata; Mammalia; Primates; Hominidae
Source: RNAcentral